GUGGGGAAUAUUGGACAAUGGGCGAAAGCCUGAUCCAGCCAUGCCGCGUGUGUGAAGAAGGUCUUCGGAUUGUAAAGCACUUUAAGUUGGGAGGAAGGGCAGUAAGUUAAUACCUUGCUGUUUUGACGUUACCGACAGAAUAAGCACCGGCUAACUUCGUGCCAGCAGCCGCGGUAAUACGAAGGGUGCAAGCGUUAAUCGGAAUUACUGGGCGUAAAGCGCGCGUAGGUGGUUUUGUAAGUUGGAGGUGAAAUCCCCGGGCUCAACCUGGGAACUGCCUCCAAAACUGCAUGACUAGAGUACGGUAGAGGGUAGUGGAAUUUCCGGUGUAGCGGUGAAAUGCGUAGAUAUAGGAAGGAACACCAGUGGCGAAGGCGACUACCUGGACUGAUACUGACACUGAGGUGCGAAAGCGUGGGGAGCAAACAGGAUUAGAAACCCGUGUAGUCC
RNAcentral lists this ribosomal RNA (450 nucleotides) under uncultured bacterium. Its description in RNAcentral is "partial 16S ribosomal RNA". It matches the Rfam family "Bacterial small subunit ribosomal RNA", at positions 354 to 796 of the family's 1533-position model. The record is from RNAcentral.